RNAcentral lists this ribosomal RNA (166 nucleotides) under uncultured bacterium. RNAcentral describes it as "partial 16S rRNA". It matches the Rfam family "Bacterial small subunit ribosomal RNA", at positions 355 to 511 of the family's 1533-position model. The record is from RNAcentral.
UAGGGAAGUCUUCCACAAUGGGCGGCAAGCCUGAUGGAGCAACACCGCGUGAGUGAAGAAGGGUUUCGGCUCGUAAAGCUCUGUUGUUAAAGAAGAACACGUAUGAGAGUAACUGUCCAUACGUUGACGGUAUUUAACCAGAAAGUCACGGCUAACUACGUGCCAG